RNAcentral lists this ribosomal RNA (269 nucleotides) under uncultured bacterium. RNAcentral describes it as "partial 16S ribosomal RNA". It matches the Rfam family "Bacterial small subunit ribosomal RNA", at positions 60 to 317 of the family's 1533-position model. The record is from RNAcentral.
UGCAGUCGAGCGGAGGAUGGGAGCUUGCUCCCUGGAGUCAGCGGCGGACGGGUGAGUAACACGUGGGCAACCUGCCUGUAAGACUGGUAUAACUCCGGGAAACCGGGGCUAAUACCGGAUAACUCUUUUCCUCACAUGAGGAAAAGCUGAAAGAUGGUUUCGGCUAUCACUUACUUAUGGGCCCGCGGCGCAUUAGCUAGUUGGUGAGGUAACGGCUCACCAAGGCCACGAUGCGUAGCCGACCUGAGAGGGUGAUCGGCCACACUGGG